GUUAACAUAAAUAUUGCUUGAAUGAGUAUUUUUUGUGAUUUUCACAUAAAAGAAGUUGAUAUGAGAUUUAAAAAUCACGGUUAUUUUGCACUCUAAUUUACAAUUUCUCUCCCAGUCCGCAAUAACUCUCUUCCACCUUUCUCUCUCCCCUAGGCUCCAAUUAAAUGGCUCUCUUUCAAUCAUGAAACCCUAGGAAGAAACCUCCAAUUAAUCGCCGCUCUUCUACCAGUUCUCUCCGCCACCAGUUUUUUAGAUUCCAGCGUUGAUGCUGUCCGCGGAAGGAGGAGUGUCGCUGCUGAUCAUUUUUUUCUCAUCCGGUCAUAUCAAGGUUAGCGGCCCUGUCUGGUAUUGAUGUGUAUGAAAUUUUACGAAUCGGUAGUUGCUUCUAAUGGUUGGGUACUUGACAAUGCAUUGCCGAGGACACAAUUAAACAAUGGUUAAAAGAAGGAAGGUAACCACAAAGCUUGCAGAAGAGGAGGACUCUCGUAGGAAAUCUGUAGAAGCUCAAAACAAGUUUGUGGAUGACGUAAUGAAUACGGCAACACGCCACUUUGAAGAGGCGCAAAAGAAAUGACCUGUUGAUGUUGAAAAGAUGGUUGCAAGAGUACCCCGGACCUUGAAUAGCGAAAGAUAUUGUUUUAGGAGAAUUGGCAUCAUGUGUUUUGUUUAAUUUUUUUUGAGUAAACUAAAUCUUGAUGGAUGGUCGAUGACCGUUGGUUUCUUUAGGUGUAUACAUUGAUGAUUUUUGGAUUUCUAUUUUUGUUUGGUGUAGACAUUGAAUGUUAAACACGCAUAAGGCAUGAUUUACAAUCGUAAA
Molecule: long non-coding RNA, 817 nt
Organism: Salvia splendens (bonfire salvia)
Lineage: Eukaryota; Viridiplantae; Streptophyta; Magnoliopsida; Lamiales; Lamiaceae
Exons: 2
Source: RefSeq, a predicted model, not a curated record